GAUGAACGCAAGCUACAGGCUUAACACAUGCAAGUCGAGGGGAAACGACAUCGAAAGCUUGCUUUUGAUGGGCGUCGACCGGCGCACGGGUGAGUAACGCGUAUCCAACCUGCCCACCACUUGGGGAUAACCUUGCGAAAGUAAGACUAAUACCCAAUGAUAUCUCUAGAAGACAUCUGAAAGAGAUUAAAGAUUUAUCGGUGAUGGAUGGGGAUGCGUAUGAUUAGUUUGUUGGCGGGGUAACGGCCCACCAAGGCGACGAUCAGUAGGGGUUCUGAGAGGAAGGUGCCCCACAUUGGAACUGAGACACGGUCCAAACUCCUACGGGAGGCAGCAGUGAGGAAUAUUGGUCAAUGGGCGAGAGCCUGAACCAGCCAAGUAGCGUGCAGGAUGACGGCCCUAUGGGUUGUAAACUGCUUUUAUAAGGGAAUAAAGUGAGUCUCGUGAGACUUUUUGCAUGUACCUUAUGAAUAAGGACCGGCUAAUUCCGUGCCAGCCGCCGCGGUAA
Molecule: ribosomal RNA, 508 nt
Filed under: uncultured bacterium
Lineage: Bacteria
Description: partial 16S ribosomal RNA
Rfam family: Bacterial small subunit ribosomal RNA
Source: RNAcentral